This 72-nucleotide transfer RNA is filed under the name Fimbriiglobus ruber. It matches the Rfam family "tRNA". Rfam says of the family: Transfer RNA (tRNA) molecules are approximately 80 nucleotides in length. The record is from Rfam by way of RNAcentral. Lineage: Bacteria; Pseudomonadati; Planctomycetota; Planctomycetia; Gemmatales; Gemmataceae.
AGCGGUGUGGCCUAACGGUAAGGCGGCGCUCUGUUAAAGCGUCCGAUGUAGGUUCGAAUCCUACCACCGCUG